This 411-nucleotide ribosomal RNA is filed under the name Salmonella enterica subsp. enterica serovar 1,4,[5],12:i:-. Its description in RNAcentral is "partial 23S ribosomal RNA". It matches the Rfam family "Bacterial large subunit ribosomal RNA", at positions 404 to 716 of the family's 2925-position model. Lineage: Bacteria; Pseudomonadati; Pseudomonadota; Gammaproteobacteria; Enterobacterales; Enterobacteriaceae. The record is from RNAcentral.
CUCGAUGAGUAGGGCGGGACACGUGGUAUCCUGUCUGAAUAUGGGGGGACCAUCCUCCAAGGCUAAAUACUCCUGACUGACCGAUAGUGAACCAGUACCGUGAGGGAAAGGCGAAAAGAACCCCGGCCAGGGGAGUGAAAAAGAACCUGAAACCGUGUACGUACAAGCAGUGGGAGCCCCACCACUAAGCCAGUGGUGAACUCCACAUCCGCAUCCUUUGCUGAGGAUACGGUUAACGGAGCGAAAGCGACGUUCAACCGCAAAACAAGCAGAGGGGGCUUAGUGGUGGGGUGACUGCGUACCUUUUGUAUAAUGGGUCAGCGACUUAUAUUCUGUAGCAAGGUUAACCGAAUAGGGGAGCCGGAGGGAAACCGAGUCUUAAUUGGGCGUUAAGUUGCAGGGUAUAGACCC